UUAAGAGCAAAAGAUGUCAAGAUUUUACAAUUGGAGGCUCAAGUUUGUGAAUUGGGAGCAUAUAUUAAAGACUUAUCAGCCGAAUUGAAGAGAGAGUAGGUUGAAGCAUUGGAGGAGGAUGAAGACUUAUCAUUAGAGCUGAAACUAGUAGAACUACUAUAGAUGAAUAGUGAAAUUCAAUCUUUUGAGUCUAGAGUGGUAGAAAGUUUGUAAAGAUUAGUCAAAUAUAUUUUUUUUAUCAAUUUUGUGUUUAUGAGGAUACUAUAUAAUUAAGAGUGGAGCUAUGUAGAAUAGGUAGGAUCUUUAUUUCUUACAAUAUAUUAUAUAAAAGAUUAAGAAUAGUCAGUAAACUGAUGAAUGGAUAUUUUAGAGGAUAUAAUAGAUGAUUAAGAAGAAAAAGUAGUUAAUAUUGGUGUAUAAUAAUUGGUAUCUAUUAGUAAGUAAAAAUCUGUUGAAGAAGAAGAAAAAAAAGGGACUAGACUGUGAGAGUCAAGAGCCAAGAUAAGCUUGGUGCUACCUCUUGUAUGUGAUUUCUUUUAGGAUAGAACUCUUAUUGAAAGAUUGGAAUUCCUUUUAGUUUUGAACUUGAUAAAGAAAAAAGACUAUAAUAAAAUAGAUAGAAAUUAUACAUUAUUAAAUGAAAAAUUGAAUAUU
Molecule: long non-coding RNA, 654 nt
Filed under: Physcomitrium patens
Lineage: Eukaryota; Viridiplantae; Streptophyta; Bryopsida; Funariales; Funariaceae
Description: long non-coding RNA (PPAT_LNC006413)
Source: RNAcentral